UUGGUUGUAUAGUUUCGCUAUCGAAAGAAACGGAAGCAUUUUCAAAUCUUGAAUCGUUAUACUUGAGUGCGUAACAUGCAUCGGAGGACCGAACCAGGAAACGUUGAAAUGUUUUUGGAUGACUUGUGUUAAGGGGUGAAAGGCCAACCAAAUUCCGCUAUAGCUAGUUCUCCGCGAAAACUAUUUAGGUAGUGCGUUGUGUGAAUGAUAUCGGGGGUAAAGCACUGGAUGGGCUAGGGGGAAGCGAUUCCUACCAAACCUAACCAAACUCUGAAUACCGAUACUCUAUGCACAGCAGACAGACUAUAGGUGCUAAGGUCUAUAGUCGAGAGGGAAACAGCCCAGAUCACCAGUUAAGGCCCCCAAAUAAUGGCUAAGUGGGAAAGUAUGUAGAAAGUCCAAGACAGGCAGGAGGUUGGCUUAGAAGCAGCCAUCCUUUAAAGAUAGCGUAACAGCUCACUGUUCUAAUUAAGACUUUCCGCGACGAAGAUGUAACGGGGCUCAAGCCAUUUGCCGAAACUGUGACUUUGUAAUUAUUGCGAUAAUUACAAGGGGUAGCGGAGCGUUCUGUAAGCCGUCGAAGGUUUUUCGAAAGAAAUGCUGGAGGUAUCAGAAGUGCGAAUGCUGACAUGAGUAGCGAUAAAGAGUGUGAGAGACACUCUCGCCGAAAUCCUAAGGUUUCCUGCGUAAAGUUAAUCUGCGCAGGGUUAGUCGACCCCUAAGGCGAGGCAGAAAUGCGUAGUCGAUGGGAAACAGGUUAAUAUUCCUGUACCUUCUGUGAGUUGACGGAUCAUGUAAAUUGUAUUUUCUUAUUGGAUUGAAAAUGCUGUGAAAUGGUUCCUGGAAAUAGCCUCAGAAUAUAGAUCGUACCUAAACCGACACAGGUAGGAAGGUAGAGUAUACCAAGGCGCUUGAGAGAAUGAUGUUGAAGGAACUCGGCAAAAUGCCCUUGUAACUUCGGAAUAAAAGGGACCAAUUUUUAGGCAACUAUAGAUUGGUGGCACAGAAUAGGGAGAAGCGACUGUUUAUCAAAAACACAGGUCUCUGCUAAGUCGUAAGACGAUGUAUAGGGACUGACGCCUGCCCGGUGCCGGAAGGUUAAAUGGUGGAGUGCAAGCUCUAAAAUGAAGCCCCGGUGAACGGCGGCCGUAACUAUAACGGUCCUAAGGUAGCGAAAUUCCUUGUCGGGUAAGUUCCGACCUGCAUGAAUGGCGUAACGAUUUCUCCGCUGUCUCCAACAUCAACUCAGCGAAAUUGAAUUCUCCGUGAAGAUGCGGAGUACGUGUAGUUAGACGGAAAGACCCCGUGCACCUUUACUAUAGCUUUACAGUGGUAUUAGGAAAAUAAUGUGUAGGCUAGGUGGUAGACUUUGAAGCAGGAGCGCUAGCUUUUGUGGAGUCAAAAGAUGAAACACCACCCUUUAUUUUUUUGAUAUCUAACCAUCAUCCAUUAUCUGGAUGUGGGACCCUGUAUGGUGGGUAGUUUGACUGGGGCGGUCGCCUCCUAAAGAGUAACGGAGGCGCGCGAUGGUAGGCUCAGGCUGGUCGGAAAUCAGCUUUAGAGUGCAAUGGCAUAAGCCUGCCUGACUGCGAGACGUACAUGUCGAGCAGAGUCGAAAGACGGUCAUAGUGAUCCGGUGGUUCCGCGUGGAAGGGCCAUCGCUCAACGGAUAAAAGGUACGCCGGGGAUAACAGGCU
This 1697-nucleotide ribosomal RNA is filed under the name marine metagenome. RNAcentral describes it as "bacterial LSU rRNA". It matches the Rfam family "Bacterial large subunit ribosomal RNA", at positions 688 to 2483 of the family's 2925-position model. The record is from RNAcentral.